UCCGGAGGGGGGCAGGGCGGCCUGGAUUUGAGGGCCGGCGGAGGAGGCGUGGGGGCUGGGAGUUAAGGAGACAGGGCUUUCCUUGGACCAAACCAACCCAGCAAUGCCACAUUUGAAGUGGGUUUGAGGAACCGGGUUUGCGUGCUCAUUUGAAAAAAAUCAGCCAAACAGAAAGCUGGAAGAAAUGGCAUUUUCCCAGAACCCAAGAAUAUUUUGCAUCCCAUCCACGACGCUUACAAUAACAGAAAGACCAGGAAGCUGGCAAACCACUUCCCUCUUUCCCACAGGUCUGUAAUCUCCCUGAGGGCGGGUUCAGCUCACAUAUCUUACACUCUGGUCUCAAACCUGGCUGCCCAUCAGAAUUGCUUGAUGAUUAACUAAAAUGUUUCACUUCCUCUAA
Molecule: non-coding RNA, 400 nt
Organism: Macaca mulatta (Rhesus monkey)
Lineage: Eukaryota; Metazoa; Chordata; Mammalia; Primates; Cercopithecidae
Source: RefSeq, a predicted model, not a curated record